GUCGAGCGGGGAGGGUAGCUUGCUACCUAACCUAGCGGCGGACGGGUGAGUAAUGCUUAGGAAUCUGCCUAUUAGUGGGGGACAACAUUCCGAAAGGAAUGCUAAUACCGCAUACGCCCUACGGGGGAAAGCAGGGGAUCUUCGGACCUUGCGCUAAUAGAUGAGCCUAAGUCAGAUUAGCUAGUUGGUGGGGUAAAGGCCUACCAAGGCGACGAUCUGUAGCGGGUCUGAGAGGAUGAUCCGCCACACUGGGACUGAGACACGGCCCAGACUCCUACGGGAGGCAGCAGUGGGGAAUAUUGGACAAUGGGCGAAAGCCUGAUCCAGCCAUGCCGCGUGUGUGAAGAAGGCCUUUUGGUUGUAAAGCACUUUAAGCGAGGAGGAGGCUACCGAGAUUAAUACUCUUGGAUAGUGGACGUUACUCG
This 425-nucleotide ribosomal RNA is filed under the name Acinetobacter sp. Its description in RNAcentral is "bacterial SSU rRNA". It matches the Rfam family "Bacterial small subunit ribosomal RNA", at positions 61 to 481 of the family's 1533-position model. The record is from RNAcentral. Lineage: Bacteria; Pseudomonadati; Pseudomonadota; Gammaproteobacteria; Moraxellales; Moraxellaceae.